AUUGAACGCUGGCGGCAUGCUUUACACAUGCCAGUCGAACGGUAACAGGCCGCAAGGUGCUGACGAGUGGCGAACGGGUGAGUAAUGCAUCGGAACGUGCCCAGUCGUGGGGGAUAACUACUCGAAAGAGUAGCUAAUACCGCAUACGAUCUAUGGAUGAAAGCGGGGGACCGUAAGGCCUCGCGCGAUUGGAGCGGCCGAUGUCAGAUUAGGUAGUUGGUGGGGUAAAGGCUCACCAAGCCAACGAUCUGUAGCUGGUCUGAGAGGACGACGAGCCACACUGGGACUGAGACACGGCCCAGACUCCUACGGGAGGCAGCAGUGGGGAAUUUUGGACAAUGGGCGCAAGCCUGAUCCAGCAAUGCCGCGUGCAGGAAGAAGGCCUUCGGGUUGUAAACUGCUUUUGUACGGAACGAAACGGCUCUGGUUAAUACCCGGGGCUAAUGACGGUACCGUAAGAAUAAGCACCGGCUAACUACGUG
Molecule: ribosomal RNA, 482 nt
Filed under: uncultured bacterium
Lineage: Bacteria
Description: partial 16S ribosomal RNA
Rfam family: Bacterial small subunit ribosomal RNA
Source: RNAcentral